AACGAACGCUGGCGGCAUGCCUAACACAUGCAAGUCGAACGAGACCUUCGGUCUAGUGGCGCACGGGUGCGUAACGCGUUGGGAAUCUGCCCUUGGGUUCGGAAUAACACGCCGAAAGGCGUGCUAAUACCGGAUGAUGUCGUAAGACCAAAGAUUUAUCGCCCAGGGAUGAGCCCGCGUAAGAUUAGGUAGUUGGUGAGGUAAAGGCUCACCAAGCCGACGAUCUUUAGCUGGUCUGAGAGGAUGAUCAGCCACACUGGGACUGAGACACGGCCCAG
Molecule: ribosomal RNA, 278 nt
Filed under: uncultured bacterium
Lineage: Bacteria
Description: partial 16S ribosomal RNA
Rfam family: Bacterial small subunit ribosomal RNA
Source: RNAcentral